AGAGUUUGAUCAUGGCUCAGAGCGAACGCUGGCGGCAGGCCUAACACAUGCAAGUCGAACGGACCCUUCGGGGUUAGUGGCGGACGGGUGAGUAACACGUGGGAACGUGCCUUUAGGUUCGGAAUAGCUCCUGGAAACGGGUGGUAAUGCCGAAUGUGCCCUUCGGGGGAAAGAUUUAUCGCCUUUAGAGCGGCCCGCGUCUGAUUAGCUUGUUGGUGAGGUAAUGGCUCACCAAGGCUACGACCAGUAGCUGGUCUGAGAGGAUGACCAGCCACAUUGGGACUGAGACACGGCCCAAACUCCUACGGGAGGCAGCAGUGGGGAAUCUUGCGCAAUGGGCGAAAGCCUGACGCAGCCAUGCCGCGUGGAUGAUGAAGGUCUUAGGAUUGUAAAAUCCUUUCACCGGUGAAGAUAAUGACUGUAGCCGGAGAAGAAGCCCCGGCUAACUUCGUGCCAGCAGCCGCGGUAAUACGAAGGGGGCUAGCGUUGCUCGGAAUUACUGGGCGUAAAGGGAGCGUAGGCGGACAUUUAAGUCAGGGGUGAAAUCCCAGAGCUCAACUCUGGAACUGCCUUUGAUACUGGGUGUCUUGAGUGUGAUAGAGGUAUGUGGAACUCCGAGUGUAGAGGUGAAAUUCGUAGAUAUUCGGAAGAACACCAGUGGCGAAGGCGACAUACUGGAUCAUUACUGACGCUGAGGCUCGAAAGCGUGGGGAGCAAACAGGAUUAGAUACCCUGGUAGUCC
Molecule: ribosomal RNA, 742 nt
Filed under: uncultured bacterium
Lineage: Bacteria
Description: bacterial SSU rRNA
Rfam family: Bacterial small subunit ribosomal RNA
Source: RNAcentral